This 520-nucleotide ribosomal RNA is filed under the name uncultured bacterium. Its description in RNAcentral is "bacterial SSU rRNA". It matches the Rfam family "Bacterial small subunit ribosomal RNA", at positions 8 to 518 of the family's 1533-position model. The record is from RNAcentral.
AGAGUUUGAUUAUGGCUCAGGAUGAACGCUAGCUACAGGCUUAACACAUGCAAGUCGAGGGGCAGCAUUGGAGUAGCAAUACUUCAGAUGGCGACCGGCGCGACGGGUGAGUAACACGUAUCCAACCUGCCGCUUACUCGGGGAUAGCCUUUCGAAAGAAAGAUUAAUACCCGAUGGUAUAAAGAGUUCGCAUGUUCUCUUUAUUAAAGAAUUUCGGUAAGCGAGUGGGGAUGCGUUCCAUUAGAUAGUUGGCGGGGUAACGGCCCACCAAGUCUACGAUGGAUAGGGGUUCUGAGAGGAAGGUCCCCCACAUUGGAACUGAGACACGGUCCAAACUCCUACGGGAGGCAGCAGUGAGGAAUAUUGGUCAAUGGACGAGAGUCUGAACCAGCCAAGUAGCGUGAAGGAUGACUGCCCUAUGGGUUGUAAACUUCUUUUAUAAGGGAAUAAAGUGAGGGACGUGUCCCUUUUUGUAUGUACCUUAUGAAUAAGGAUCGGCUAACUCCGUGCCAGCAGCUGC